This is a long non-coding RNA of Felis catus (domestic cat), 3622 nucleotides long. RefSeq lists it as uncharacterized. NCBI's taxonomy places the organism in Eukaryota, Metazoa, Chordata, Mammalia, Carnivora, Felidae. The transcript has 4 exons. The record is from RefSeq and is a predicted model, not a curated record.
CCAGGGCUGCAGAGCAGAGGAGGGCGAGGCAGAGAAAGAGCAGACUGUAGAUUUGCAGGGCUAGUAGCAGUAUGUGAUCCUUGUGUUGUGCAAGCCACCCUUCAACCUUGACAACCUGAGUUCUGAGCCAGGUUUUAGGAGAGAUCCUGAGGGGCCCUGAUGCCACAUGCGGCAUUGACAGAUGUGUUGCAUCCUCUCCUCUGACUUCGCAGACUCAGAAGGUAGUGCAGGAAAGAACUUCUGGGUUACCUGUUUCUGCCUACAAUGAAAGAUGAAAAACACUGAGCCAGAGAGGCUCCACCUUUGUAGUUCCCUACAUGUUUCCUAGUUCCAUAGAAAAUGAAUAGAUCUCAGAGCAUGCGCAAGUAGGGGAGGGAGAGAGAGGAUCCAAAGUAGGCUGGAAAGCGCGAGACUUGAUCCCAUGAACUGUGAGAUGGUGACCUGAGCUGAAAUCAAGAGUUUGAUGCCUGACCCACUGAGCCACCCAGGUAUGCUCCCACCCCCAUCGACCUUUUUCUGCCUAAUCCAGGCAUAGAACCAGGGAUGUCUCCAAAAAGAAUGGAUUAUACCACCUUCAGAUAAUCUUUAAUGAUGUGUAUAGAGUGUGCAACAGAUGGGUUAAAGGUAUUUUCUGGCAAAUGUUUCCCCAUUUCCUUUCCAUAUUUCAAACCAAAUCACUGUUGGAUCUGUCUGGUAAGGGACAUUAGUGAUCUUAUUAUGGCAAAUGUCAUGGAUACUUUAGUACUGAAGUUACCUUAAUUAAGGUAAUGCUCAGUGAAUUGAGCAUUCUGUCCAGUUUUUACGUUCAUGUCCAGUCUCUCCUAGAAAGUCUUGUUGGUUGUUUUCUGGUCUAUUCCUUCUUCUGGAAUUCUUUUCUGUCCUCUCAGUAGAGUCUUCUUCCUCUUUUUGCCUCUUAUUGUUUCUCCCACAGUGUCUGUUAUUGAUCUCUUCACUCUCCAGUGAUUGUCCUCACUCUCCUGGUCUUGCUGACUAAUCUGUUCUCUCUGGAGAUGUACCAUUUGCUGGGAUGCUUGAAUCUGGCUCUCUGGUCCAGCCCUCUCCCCUACCUUAGACCUUAAUGGCCAACUGUGAAUGGCUCGUCUAAAGGCCCUUCAAACUCUACAGAUCCCCCCGCUGCCCUGCCACCCUUCUUUAUUUCCUACUAAAUGUUAUUACCAGCCAGCUCAUCAUCCAGGUAACAAACAUAGCUUUUGUUCUAAGUGCUGGCCUUUGCCUGCAACCUACACAUCCAGUUGAUAAAUAAAUCUUGUUACUUUCAAGUUGUUAAUGUUUCUUUCUUUCUUCUUCUUCUUUUUUUUUUUUUUUUUGAAAUUGAAAUUAAGUGCACAAAUCCGAAGGGUACAACCUGAAUUUUUCGUACACUAUGCAUCUGGGCGGCUAUCACCCAGGUCAGAAUAAGGGUCAUUUUCUGCAAUGCAGAAGGCUCCCUUUGUGUUCUUUCCAAGACAGUACUUGCCCACUCUCACUCGAGGGGAACCAUUAUUUUGAUUUCUAUUAACAUUUAUUAGUUUUGUCUUAUUUUAAACUUCAUAUGAAUAGAAUCAUGCAAUAUAUGUUCUUUUGUGUCUCAUCUGACUUCUUUUACUGAGUGUUACGUCUGUAACAUCAUCCGCGCGUAGCACUAGUUUGUUUUUUUCCCACUGUAUGACUCUACCACAGUUCAUCCAUUCUGCUCUAGAUGGAUAUUUGGGCUGUUUUUAAUUCUGGCUUUUGUAUAUGUCUUUUGGUGUACAUAUGCACUUGAUUCUGAGGAAUAUAAACCUAGAAGUGGAAUUGAUGGGUCAUAGAACAUAUGUAUGUUUGGCUUUGACAGAUUUUGCCAGUGGUUUGACAAAAUAGUUGUACUACUCUACCUUGCCACCAGCCGUCCACCAGUCCUGUUGCACUGUAUCCUUGACCCUUGACAGCAUUUGAUAUUGUUUGUGAGGUUUCUUUUGUUUUCAUUUUCUUUCUUUUCUUUUCAGUAUUUGGUGAGUGAAUGUAGUGGUAUCUCAUUGUGAUUUUAAUUUGCACUUCUCUGAAGGCUGAUGAUGUUGAGCAUCUGUCCAUAUUAACUGACCAUUUUGAUAUCUUUUUGUUGAAGUGUGUUUCAGUCUUGUCCAUUAAAAAUUUUGGUAGCUUGUCUUUGCUAUGUUAACUUGUAGGAAUUCCUUGUAUGUUCUUUAUAGGAGUCCUUUGUCGGAUACAUGUACUGCAAAUAUCUUCUUUGAGACUUUUUCUGAAUUUAAUCAAGUCCAGUUUAUCAAUCUUUUCUUUAAUUGUUAGUGCUCUUUGUGUCCUGCUUAAAAAAUCUUUGCCUGUCCAAAAGUCAUAAGGGAAUCCACCUGUGCUUUCUUCUAAAAGCUCGGAUUGUUUUACUUUCACAUUUAAGUGUAUGAUCCAUUUUGAAUUAUUAUAUGUAAAUGCACACACAUGUAUCUUUCCCUGUCUCUUUUUUUGUCAUGAGCUAUGGCUAUCCCGUUCCUGUAGUACCUUUUAUGAAAAAGACUUCCUUUCCCGCGAGAGUUUUGUUGAAAAUCAGGUGACCAUGUAUGUGUGUGUCUCUUUUUGGAUUCUUAUUUCUCUUCAGUUGUCUCUUUAUCUAGUCUCAUGCCAAUACUACCCUGCCCUUAUUAUUGUAGCUUUAUAAAAAGUAUUCAUAUCUGUGGGAAUAUGUUUUUUACUUUCAUUCUUCAAGAUUUGUCUUGGCUACUUUAAGUCCUUUGUAUUUCCAUAUAAACUUUAUAAUAAUCUUUGUCAACUCCCCCCCCCCCCCCCCCCCCGCCAAUCUGUUGGAAUUUGGUAUGACAUUGAAUCUAUAGAUUGAUUUGGCAGGCUGGUCAUAUUAAUAAAGACUUGAAUUUUCAAUUCAUGAACAUGACAUUUUUCUUCAUUUAGGCUCUCUUUUUCUCAGCACUGUUAGAUAAAUUCUAUAUAUACGUCUUGUACUUUUUUUUAUUAGAGUUAUCCUUAGUUGAAAAUUUUUCUCCUUAUUUGGGUGUUGCUGAUAUAUAGAAAUAUAGUGGAUUUUUGUAUAUUGAACUUUUUUUAGUGACCUUACUGUGAUGUCUCUCCCAAUAGGAUGGAGGUGAAAGAAUUCACCAGAGGCAGAACAAAGGAGAUAGAAGUUUAUCAAAUACACCCCAAGGGAGUAGAGGGCAGGACAGCAAAGCAGAGGUUGUCUGCAAUAAGGCAGUGGUGGGGGCUGUAUUUAAAGGGGAAAAGUGAGAAGGUAGGUGACAAAUGGAAUUUUCCCUUUCUUGGUAACUCUGCGUGGUUGUAACUAGCCCACUGAUUAGUUAAGGCCUAUGGAUAUUUUGAGGCGUGUCAUCUAAUGAGACUGUUUGUAUUCAGCCAGGGGAUUGGGGUCCCCCUGGGCCCUUUCUAUAUUCAUUGUUCAAGGCUGUCGCCUAAAUGUGGCCUCUACACUUACCAUUUAUUAACUCAUAGUUCAUCUGUAAAUUAUUUUGGAUUUUCUACCUACACAACUAUGUUGUAUGGACAUUUUUUACUUUAUCUUUUGUCUUUUUUUAAAAUUAAAAAAAAAUUUUUAGAGAGAGCUUGCGAGUGGGGGGAGAGGGGCCAAGGGAGAGAGAGAGACAGAAAGACAGAGAGAAUCUUA